Molecule: ribosomal RNA, 440 nt
Filed under: uncultured bacterium
Lineage: Bacteria
Description: partial 16S ribosomal RNA
Rfam family: Bacterial small subunit ribosomal RNA
Source: RNAcentral
CCUACGGGAGGCAGCAGUAGGGAAUAUUGCUCAAUGGGGGAAACCCUGAAGCAGCAACGCCGCGUGGAGGAUGAAGGUUUUCGGAUUGUAAACUCCUUUUGUUAGAGAAGAUAAUGACGGUAUCUAACGAAUAAGCACCGGCUAACUCCGUGCCAGCAGCCGCGGUAAUACGGAGGGUGCAAGCGUUACACGGAAUCACUGGGCGUAAAGAGCGCGUAGGCGGGGUAGCAAGUCAGAUGUGAAAUCCUAGGGCUUAACCAUAGAACUGCAUUUGAAACUGUUAUUCUAGAGUAUGGGAGGGGUAGGUGGAAUUCUUGGUGUAGGGGUAAAAUCCGUAGAGAUCAGGAGGAAUACUCAUGGCGAAGGCGACCUGCUAGAACAUAACUGACGCUGAUGCGCGAAAGCGUGGGGAGCAAACAGGAUUAGAUACCCGAGUAGUC